ACCCUUAUCAGUCGUUUUAUCUAGCUGUUUGGAAGCGGGAAAGCGAGCCAUUAGAAUUUAGAAAAUCGAAGAGAGGGAGAAUUAGCGGGAAAAUCAGGGAGGAAGAAACAGAGAUGGAGACGGACUACUCAAGCAGCGACUUGCAGCGCUUACUAGAAGCCAUUAAAUCCUCGGAUGUUGUGGAGAUUCGUGUUCAACUACUUAAUAAGCUCCGGGACUUAGAAAUAUCAGAUCGAUCUGACUUGCAUUUGCUUAUGGAACGCCUCACAACAUAUUGGGAAGACUUCACUUGUUUGGAUGCAUCCCAGUGCCUGUUAAACAAAUCUAUUUUACAUGUUGCUGUAAAACACCUAGAGGCAGAUAUAUCUGGGUGCUUACCACAAUUUCUUUCCCUAGGGACCAAGGCCAGCAUAUGGUGUGGAAAGCAUCUGAAGAUGAUUCUUAUGUCAAAUGAGGGAUCUCAAGAUGAGGAGCAUGAUGACGUAUUUUUUCAGCUGCUUUUGGACUUGUUGAGCUUCUCUGCUGCUAGCUUUUCGGCUUUGGCCACAUACCAUGUUUCAGAUGAUGAACCAUUGAUGGAUAGUGUAGAGAAUUAUAUUUCAGAGCAGUUAAAUUUAACAAAAAACUCUAUAGCAGAGAUUAAGAGAAUUGGGUCGCUUGGCUCAGAAGUAGUAAAGGCUACUCAGAUUGUCAUAGAUGCUGUGAUAAGACUUUGUAGAGUGUAUUCCCUUGCUGUAAAUUGGGAGUUAUGUGAUGGACAUCCUGAGAAAGAUGAAAGCUGCAGGGAUUUUGCGGCAGCCAAUAGUGUGAAUCAUGUUAGUAAAAUAGCAAAAUGUACAAUAGAAAAGCUGUGUGAAUUGGGAAUUCUUGCAGCUAAUGAUGGUGGGAGUUUGGUUACCAUUCUUAAUGUGUCGUGGAAAGGUGUGGUUACCUUGCUUCAACUUGGCAAGGGGGGUUUAUCAGUAAAGGUGAAUGUGGCAGAUAUUAUUCUUUCACUUCUUUCACUCGUUAAUGAGUCUCUGAGAUGUGCAGCUAAAGCUUGGUCCUCUUCCCUGAAGGAAGCCAUUUCUGUAACUGAAGCUAGAAGAAUAUUUGUUCCAGUAAAGUUCUACCUGAUUAAUGCUGUAAAAAUAUCCUUCCUAUAUCCAAGCCAAGCAUACCUGGUAUACAGGGAGAUGACACUCUGCAUCCUGAUGAUCUCAACCUUAAAAACUUCACUGAGUGAUGAAGAACUUACGAAAACUGCUGGUGAAGUAAUAACAGAGCUUCUAGAACAAACAUCCAUGGAUCUUCUCAAGUCUUUGCUAAAUUCUGCUCAAUUGAAACAGGAGCUGAAGUUGAGAAUUCUGGACUGGUUGUUCAUCAAUGAAAGCAACUCAAAUCCUGCCAAUGGAGAUUUAGGUAGUAAUAGUGGAGUAACUUCAAUGGAAGAAAUCUUUUCGGUAGGUUGUGAAGACAUGACUGGGGCAAGAACAUUGUUGCUUGGUCGGGUUGGAGUGUUUCUCAAUUUACUGAAAUAUUCCCUUGAUCUUGGUGAAGAUGUAAAACUUGGAAUGAUCAGUAAGCUUGGAUGGUUUUUUGACAUAUUAGUUGAUGAAGAGGUAUAUUCUUUCGUUCUGGCCCUCCAAAUUCCCGAAUUGUUUGGUUCACAGAACACUGUUGAAAUUGAUUGGCAGCCUAUGUUUUCUUCUCUUUUACAUGCACUGGAAACAUUCAUGAUUGUGAUCUCUUCAAGCCUUGCAUGGGGGGAAUUUGAGUCUUUUUUGUUUGAGAAUUUCUUUCAUCCUCACUUCCUUUGCCAGGAGAUUGUAAUUGAGCUUUGGCAUUUUAUGGUGCGAUAUGCUGAGAUAAGUGUGGUGAACGGUGUUACAGAUAAACUUUCCUCAUUAUUGAGGUUGGUUGCAUCCUCGGAGUCGGUUUUUAUUCCUGGUUCUGCAAUGAGAAAAGUGGCAAGAUCACUUUGCAUGAUACUUAGUUAUGGUACACAAUCUAUGGUAGACCAUGUUUACAACUCCAUUAUUGGUGACAACAGGUCUCAAUUGUCAGCGGUUAUGCACGUAGCCUUGUUCAUGGAAGGCUUUCCGUUGAAUUUGCUCUCUGAGAGGAUGAGAAAUAUUGCUACUCAGAGAAUCUUUGCUGAUUACUUUGGCUUCUUAGAGAGUUUUGAUGAUAAAUCGAUGAGAGCUUGCAGUUCUAGUGUUUAUGGAGUUCCAGUCUUUGCUCUGUCUGCCUCAUUGCAGUCUCUGCAGCUCAACAUGUCUGAUAGUGAUGCGAAGACCCUGAAGUUUAUAGUUGCUAUCACUCAUAACUACAGAAACUCAGGGGACCAACUAACAAAGGACCAUUACCGGAAGCUUUUGAGUGAAACGUUAGGAAUCAUCGCGAAUAACAAGCAUCUAUAUGCAGCAGCUGAGAUGGAAGAAGUCAUCUUAGAGCUUGAAAACCUAUUUAUCUCAGGGCCAGCAGCCUCUGAUACUCGAUUACAUGCAUGCAAACCGCAUCUGGCUCUUUUCAUGGCCGGACUUGGUCAUAUGGAAAUGACAGAAAGUGAUACAAGUGCCAAAUGUUCUGCCAUCUGGGAAUUGUAUCACAUGCUACUGAGAGAGCAGCAUUGGGCAUUAAUUCAUUUGGCAAUCACGGCGUUUGGAUAUUUUGCUGCCCGCACUUCUUGUAAUCAACUAUGGAGAUUCGUGCCCCAGACUGCUGCUCUAUCAUACGAUCUAGUGUCAGGAAAUGAGGCAAAUGAGGAGAGAUUUAUGUCUGAAUUGAAGGCAUUUCUUGAGAAAGAAAGGGCUCUUCUUACAAUUACAAAAAGCUCCGAGCAGCUUGGGCAGCUCGUAGGGGAAGGUCUGAUGCUGAAAAGAAUUGUUCAAAAUAUUCGUAGAAUUGAUACAACAGGGGUAGUGGGGUGUGAAAGCACGGAGACUGACGAGAAUAAUCAAUCCAAGAAGAGAAGGAAACUUCCUGAUGAAAUUAGUGAGGGCGUGGAAUUGCUGCAGAACGGUUUAAAAGUUAUUGGUGACUGUUUUUCCCGGUGGCAGCAAGAUCAUGAUGCCACAGAACUUCGUGACAAUUUCAUGGCUCACAUUUCUCGACUUGAAGAUGAAAUUGCCCAAUUAGUGGGUCUGGCCGGCAGCGGCUAGGUUCUCAUUUCAGCUCCCUUCAAGAAUGUCAUCGUCAAUGGCUUAAUAGCCAAGGUACGAAGUUCAAAUGUGUAGAUAUAGAUACAAACGAGUUUGAUGAAUCAGAGCUAUCGCAAAUUAAUUCACGGAAAACGAGAGCUUCCCGCCGUAACAACGCGUGACAAACUGAACCGUGACGACGCCAUUUUGUUCUUUUAGGGCUAAACCACAAGCGGCAAUUCUCGUUGCCACAGCA
This is an RNA transcript of Carya illinoinensis, 3378 nucleotides long. RefSeq lists it as uncharacterized. NCBI's taxonomy places the organism in Eukaryota, Viridiplantae, Streptophyta, Magnoliopsida, Fagales, Juglandaceae. The record is from RefSeq and is a predicted model, not a curated record. The transcript has 8 exons.